RNAcentral lists this ribosomal RNA (2902 nucleotides) under Klebsiella pneumoniae. Its description in RNAcentral is "23S ribosomal RNA". It matches the Rfam family "Bacterial large subunit ribosomal RNA". Lineage: Bacteria; Pseudomonadati; Pseudomonadota; Gammaproteobacteria; Enterobacterales; Enterobacteriaceae. The record is from RNAcentral.
GGUUAAGCGACUAAGCGUACACGGUGGAUGCCCUGGCAGUCAGAGGCGAUGAAGGACGUGCUAAUCUGCGAAAAGCGUCGGUAAGGUGAUAUGAACCGUUAUAACCGGCGAUGUCCGAAUGGGGAAACCCAGUGCAAUUCGUUGCACUAUCGUUAACUGAAUACAUAGGUUAACGAGGCGAACCGGGGGAACUGAAACAUCUAAGUACCCCGAGGAAAAGAAAUCAACCGAGAUUCCCCCAGUAGCGGCGAGCGAACGGGGAGCAGCCCAGAGUCUGAAUCAGCUUGUGUGUUAGUGGAACGGUCUGGAAAGUCCGACGGUACAGGGUGAUAGUCCCGUACACCAAAAUGCACAGGUUGUGAACUCGAAGAGUAGGGCGGGACACGUGGUAUCCUGUCUGAAUAUGGGGGGACCAUCCUCCAAGGCUAAAUACUCCUGACUGACCGAUAGUGAACCAGUACCGUGAGGGAAAGGCGAAAAGAACCCCGGCGAGGGGAGUGAAAAAGAACCUGAAACCGUGUACGUACAAGCAGUGGGAGCACCUUCGGGUGUGACUGCGUACCUUUUGUAUAAUGGGUCAGCGACUUAUAUUCUGUAGCAAGGUUAACCGUAUAGGGGAGCCGCAGGGAAACCGAGUCUUAACUGGGCGUUAAGUUGCAGGGUAUAGACCCGAAACCCGGUGAUCUAGCCAUGGGCAGGUUGAAGGUUGGGUAACACUAACUGGAGGACCGAACCGACUAAUGUUGAAAAAUUAGCGGAUGACUUGUGGCUGGGGGUGAAAGGCCAAUCAAACCGGGAGAUAGCUGGUUCUCCCCGAAAGCUAUUUAGGUAGCGCCUCGUGAAUUCAUCUUCGGGGGUAGAGCACUGUUUCGGCUAGGGGGUCAUCCCGACUUACCAACCCGAUGCAAACUACGAAUACCGAAGAAUGUUAUCACGGGAGACACACGGCGGGUGCUAACGUCCGUCGUGAAGAGGGAAACAACCCAGACCGCCAGCUAAGGUCCCAAAGUCAUGGUUAAGUGGGAAACGAUGUGGGAAGGCACAGACAGCCAGGAUGUUGGCUUAGAAGCAGCCAUCAUUUAAAGAAAGCGUAAUAGCUCACUGGUCGAGUCGGCCUGCGCGGAAGAUGUAACGGGGCUAAACCAUGCACCGAAGCUGCGGCAGCGACACUAUGUGUUGUUGGGUAGGGGAGCGUUCUGUAAGCCUGCGAAGGUGACCUGUGAGGGUUGCUGGAGGUAUCAGAAGUGCGAAUGCUGACAUAAGUAACGAUAAAGCGGGUGAAAAGCCCGCUCGCCGGAAGACCAAGGGUUCCUGUCCAACGUUAAUCGGGGCAGGGUGAGUCGACCCCUAAGGCGAGGCCGAAAGGCGUAGUCGAUGGGAAACAGGUUAAUAUUCCUGUACUUGGUGUUACUGCGAAGGGGGGACGGAGAAGGCUAUGUUAGCCGGGCGACGGUUGUCCCGGUUUAAGCAUGUAGGCUGAUUGUCCAGGCAAAUCCGGAUAAUCAAGGCUGAGGUGUGAUGACGAGGCACUACGGUGCUGAAGUAACAAAUGCCCUGCUUCCAGGAAAAGCCUCUAAGCAUCAGGUAACAUCAAAUCGUACCCCAAACCGACACAGGUGGUCAGGUAGAGAAUACCAAGGCGCUUGAGAGAACUCGGGUGAAGGAACUAGGCAAAAUGGUGCCGUAACUUCGGGAGAAGGCACGCUGGUGUGUAGGUGAAGCCCCUGCGGGUGGAGCUGAGACCAGUCGAAGAUACCAGCUGGCUGCAACUGUUUAUUAAAAACACAGCACUGUGCAAACACGAAAGUGGACGUAUACGGUGUGACGCCUGCCCGGUGCCGGAAGGUUAAUUGAUGGGGUUAUCCGUAAGGAGAAGCUCUUGAUCGAAGCCCCGGUAAACGGCGGCCGUAACUAUAACGGUCCUAAGGUAGCGAAAUUCCUUGUCGGGUAAGUUCCGACCUGCACGAAUGGCGUAAUGAUGGCCAGGCUGUCUCCACCCGAGACUCAGUGAAAUUGAACUCGCUGUGAAGAUGCAGUGUACCCGCGGCAAGACGGAAAGACCCCGUGAACCUUUACUAUAGCUUGACACUGAACAUUGAGCCUUGAUGUGUAGGAUAGGUGGGAGGCUUUGAAGCGUGGACGCCAGUCUGCGUGGAGCCAACCUUGAAAUACCACCCUUUAAUGUUUGAUGUUCUAACGUUGGCCCCUUACCGGGGUUGCGGACAGUGUCUGGUGGGUAGUUUGACUGGGGCGGUCUCCUCCCAAAGCGUAACGGAGGAGCACGAAGGUUAGCUAAUCCUGGUCGGACAUCAGGAGGUUAGUGCAAUGGCAUAAGCUAGCUUGACUGCGAGCGUGACGGCGCGAGCAGGUGCGAAAGCAGGUCAUAGUGAUCCGGUGGUUCUGAAUGGAAGGGCCAUCGCUCAACGGAUAAAAGGUACUCCGGGGAUAACAGGCUGAUACCGCCCAAGAGUUCAUAUCGACGGCGGUGUUUGGCACCUCGAUGUCGGCUCAUCACAUCCUGGGGCUGAAGUAGGUCCCAAGGGUAUGGCUGUUCGCCAUUUAAAGUGGUACGCGAGCUGGGUUUAGAACGUCGUGAGACAGUUCGGUCCCUAUCUGCCGUGGGCGCUGGAGAAUUGAGGGGGGCUGCUCCUAGUACGAGAGGACCGGAGUGGACGCAUCACUGGUGUUCGGGUUGUCAUGCCAAUGGCACUGCCCGGUAGCUAAAUGCGGAAGAGAUAAGUGCUGAAAGCAUCUAAGCACGAAACUUGCCCCGAGAUGAGUUCUCCCUGAGACUUUAAGUCUCCUGAAGGAACGUUGAAGACGACGACGUUGAUAGGCCGGGUGUGUAAGCGCAGCGAUGCGUUGAGCUAACCGGUACUAAUGAACCGUGAGGCUUAACCUU